CGAACGCUGGCGGCAGGCCUAACACAUGCAAGUCGAACGGGUACUUUCGGGUACUAGUGGCGGACGGGUGAGUAACGCGUGGGAACGUGCCCUUUGGUUCGGAAUAGCCCUGGGAAACUGGGAGUAAUACCGGAUGAGCCCUACGGGGGAAAGAUUUAUCGCCAAAGGAUCGGCCCGCGUUGGAUUAGUUAGUUGGCGGGGUAACGGCCCACCAAGACGAUGAUCAUUAGGGGAACUGAGAGGUUGGUCCCCCACACUGGCACUGAGAUACGGGCCAGACUCCUACGGGAGGCAGCAGUAGGGAAUAUUGGACAAUGGGUGCGAGCCUGAUCCAGCCAUGCCGCGUGCAGGAAGACGGCCUUCUGGGUUGUAAACUGCUUUUGCCAGGGGAUAGAACGUCUCUGCGGAGAUAAUUGAAGGUACCUGGUGAAUAAGCCACGGCUAACCACGUGCCAGCA
This 458-nucleotide ribosomal RNA is filed under the name uncultured Paracoccus sp. Its description in RNAcentral is "bacterial SSU rRNA". It matches the Rfam family "Bacterial small subunit ribosomal RNA", at positions 30 to 513 of the family's 1533-position model. The record is from RNAcentral. Lineage: Bacteria; Pseudomonadati; Pseudomonadota; Alphaproteobacteria; Rhodobacterales; Paracoccaceae.